Non-coding RNA from Salvia hispanica, 1180 nucleotides. Lineage: Eukaryota; Viridiplantae; Streptophyta; Magnoliopsida; Lamiales; Lamiaceae. The record is from RefSeq and is a predicted model, not a curated record.
UUGAAAAAUCAUUUAUUUAUUUUUAUUUGAUGAUUUGGUUUCAAUAUCAUAUAAUUCUGGUGCAAUUUGUAUGCAAUUGCUGUAAUUUGAGAUAUAAUUUGAUAUUUUUGGAUUGAUGCAUUUUUUAGUUACAAUGUGUUUGUUAGCUGAUGAAUUGGACGAGUCUUGUGCUCGGAUGGUUGGAUUAUAAGAUUGUAGUUAAAUUGAAUGAGUCUUAAGAGAAAAUCUGAUAUCCGAUGAGUGAUGAUGUUUAAGAUUCCGCAACUCGAUGUUCCUGAUCUGCAAGUUUCUGUAGUGGCUUUCGUUUGAGUUAUUUCUGCAAGUUAUUUCGUUUUAGUAGUGAUGAGGUAUUAUUUUUUGAUCAUCACGUUUUUGAGAUAAGAUAUACCAGCUGAAGCAUCACGUUCCAGGAAUAGAAUAGGAUAGAGAUGAUGUUCGAGCAACAACAACAUUUUCUUAUCAUCAUCUACCAGCUACUCCUAAGAAACUUCCUUUUGAUUGACAUUUCUUUCAAAGUAAUGUUAGGAUAGUAAUUUCAGAAGGAUACAGGAGGAGGCUGAUUGAUAUAUUUCAAAGGGCCAGCUGAUGCUUCAGUUGUUGCGGUUAUCUUAACUGUCAACUUAAUAGGUGCAUUUCAUUCUGAAAAUCUAUUGCUGAAAGCCUGAAACAGAGGGAACUGACACGGUCCCAUCACUCCAAUCUGACCAGCUCGAGCAUAAUCAAUUGGGUGAUGAACAAGAGAUUCAAGUUCUGCCCAAGCUUGACUCCAUGCUCCUUUUAGGACACACCAGAUAACUUCAAGAACGAUCAAGAAAGGGUUUAAGGGGGGUAGACAAGUGGUGGCUGUCUACAAUCUAUGUUCUGCCAAACUUUCUCUGAAAAGAGUCCUCUUCAUACAGAAGUAGAAGGAUCAAGUUCUCAAAGCAACCAUGACCAUCAAUGUUCACUCAGCCAUAACUUAUCAUCUGAGAUCAAAGUGGUUUAUGUGAAGAACAGAAAUGAGGCAUCUUUUAUGAUAUGGAAGAGGAAAAUGAAUCAAAGGGAAUGGCUGUAGCCUGUAAGUACAGAGAAGAGAGCUAGGGUUGUUUAAGGAUAGGCUAGUGAUAUUCUUGAAUAUUUUGAAUUCAAAUGAAUUGUAAAACAAUGUUGUUUAAUUUAAUGUCAUUUAAAUUUUAUUUAA